GACACACAUAAAGUGGAAAGUUGAAGUCAUAAUAAUGGUGGGACUUUCUGAGGCUUUUAAGCAGUUGGCCACAAGAGACUAUCCGACCAACGCAGAGAGGCAGCAGUUAUGCAAUGGAAAAAGACGAGGGAAAGCUGGACCCAACAGGAGGACGGGGGGAAGGAAAGAGGAGAGCAUUAUUAAAUGAAUGGAAAACAGUACGUUGGGAAAACUAGCCACUUUAAAAUAAGUAACACAAAAGCAGAGCAGUGGGCCAGGCCUGUGGUCCACGGCGCUGCUCUGGGAAAAAGUGAUUCGGCGCCUGGAAAGAGAGGUUAUGUCAUCCGCCCCACGUGAUGAGGUGUUGUGCUCCGCUGCCAUGGCGACAGUGGAAGAUGAUCAGCAGAAUAGAUGUGAGACUGGCCUUCCAGAUCGUGCCCCCUGCCGCCAUGUUGCAGUUACAGCCGGGUUUGGCCAGGGGACGCCACAGGAGCACCAAAGCGCUGCAUCAGUGGGUCUGGAGUUGAACUUGCUCCGGACACAUGACCUAUCUGCAGGUUGUUUCUUACUUCAACUUUAUUUACUGUGUGUGAUUAGUACAUGUGACAGACAAGUGACUAGAUUCAGAUCUGCAUGUAGUCAGAAUAUUUUAGAGUGGGGACAUAUUUCUAAUUCAUGAGGAGCAAAACAUCUUCAAAGCAUCGUUGAAGAACAUGAGAAAUUAAACAUUUUUAAAUUAAAAGGAUUGCAUUUGCAGAGAUUAAAAAAAGUCAAUGCAUGAAUAGAAAGAAUAUAAAAUAUUCAAAUAAAAUAGAUUGCUUUUGUUGACA
RNAcentral lists this long non-coding RNA (809 nucleotides) under Betta splendens (Siamese fighting fish). RNAcentral's name for it is "lncRNA (ENSBSLG00000011532.1)". Lineage: Eukaryota; Metazoa; Chordata; Actinopteri; Anabantiformes; Osphronemidae. The record is from RNAcentral.